UUAUUUUUAGUAUUUUAACUAUUUUAUUUUUUUGGAAUUGAGGGUUAACAUAUAAAUAAUGAUACUUAUUUGCGGUACCAUUGUGACUUCUGUGAAUUAAAAUUUCUCGCAUUCUCGCUGUGGAAGUUUGGGCUGUAGUUUGGAUUGCAUCCUCGCAAAUCUCGCAGGCGAUUUGCAAGUUACAUACAAAGAAUUCUACGUGAACAUAGCUGUUGCCCUAAUAGAGCAAAUGGACAUUAUGCACGCGUGUCGCUGCUGCCUGCGGCGUCCUCCGGACAAGGACCUGACGACGCCGUACGCACUUUUCGGGAAAACGGAGAUAUAUGCCGACAUGAUUAAAGACUGCUUCGAUAUACAUCUGGCACUGGAUGCCCCGGGCUCGUGCGGCAUCUGCUCUGCGUGCGUGGGCCGCCUGCGAGACGCGAGCGACUUCAAGCUGCAAGUGCAGCGCAGCCAGGCAGAGCUGCAGGCGCUGCUAUAUAAAGCUGAUCCAGUGGUCAAAUCUGAGCAAACUGAAGACAAUGUUGAGGAUAAAUUUGUUUAUGAUGUGUUAUAUGAAGAGCCCAUACUGUUUGAGCAGUCAGAGAUUGGCGAGAUGGCCAAUGAAGUCAUGGAACAAGACCCUCUUUUCAAGUCGGAGGCUGAUGAUGCGAUGAGUGACGAUGAUACAACAGCAGGGGUGUGUUCGGAAGGCAGCGCUGCUUACGGUGACACAACUGACACAACUGUUCAUACAUACAGUCGAGCCCAAGUAGCCAAACCAUUCGGCUGCAAACACUGUAAAGAACGAUUCAAAAAUAAGUGUACUUUAAAAGAGCACAUUCUACGCAAACAUUUGUCAAUCUCAACCGGGCCAAAACUAUUUGCUUGUGGUUUUUGUAGUUCUACAUUCCGAACUAAAUUGCUUGUAUUAGAGCACGAGAGAAUCGAACACGGUGUUACAAGUUUCAUGUGUGGUGAAUGUGGGCAUAUAACGAUUGAAAAAAGCAGUUUGGAAGCUCAUUUAAAAACUCACUCUACGGACAUUGUUAGCUGUACUCAAAGCAGUUAUGUAAGUCAGUCUAAGAGUGAUAUUCCCGAACACCUAGUGAAAAACAUUGCUGAUCUUCUAUCGACACACAAACAAAAGCAUCAGAAGUUACAUACUCUAAGAGAACACCUGCGAAUAGCACCCAAACGAAGUUCUCAUUCCAAUAUUGACUCCACAAUGAAGACGCUAAUUAUUUCUAUGCAUAUUGACGGGCUAAAUAAAUCUGAAAUUGCUAGAGAAACUGGUUUAAAUAGGAAAACUGUUAGUAUGUGGGUCGAUCGAUAUCAAAAAGAAGGUUCUCUGUUACCCCGGCCUAAGACUGGUAGACCAUGCCUCAUAGACACAAAGCAACGCGAGUUUCUGGUGCGGGAAUACAUGGAAGAUGGCGGCAGGCAGACGAAACUGUAUGCAGAUCUGUUCGGCGCAUCUCCACUCACGGUGCGACGUGUGCUUCGUAAAGAGGGACUUCGUUUCCACAAACCUGCUGUGAACCCUAAACGUUCUAAGAAAAAUGGAAUAGACGACAAGUAGAAAUACGGAGUAAAUUGACAGAGAAAUAGUUUUAUUAGAUGCCCCAACGCCCAAAAAUUACAUAAAAUGAUUUGUUGCUUACUAUAUCAGUGAAAAGUAGAAACUUUCUUACGCCUUACUAUAACAAGGCCUGGAGCCGAAUAUUUUCUCUAGUUAAGAGUAACCUCCUGUUAGACCUGUUAUGAAGAUACUAAAUAUUUAUUUAUUGUGUUCCGACGGCGCUGUUUACAGUGACACAACUGUUCAUACAUACAGUCGAGACAAACCAUACGGCUGCAAAUAUUGUAAAGAACGUUUCAAAAAUAAGUGUACUUUAAAAGAACACCUUCAUC
Molecule: unclassified non-coding RNA, 1893 nt
Filed under: Leguminivora glycinivorella
Lineage: Eukaryota; Metazoa; Arthropoda; Insecta; Lepidoptera; Tortricidae
Description: oocyte zinc finger protein XlCOF28-like, transcript variant X7
Source: RNAcentral